RNAcentral lists this ribosomal RNA (2914 nucleotides) under Escherichia coli. Its description in RNAcentral is "23S ribosomal RNA". It matches the Rfam family "Bacterial large subunit ribosomal RNA". Lineage: Bacteria; Pseudomonadati; Pseudomonadota; Gammaproteobacteria; Enterobacterales; Enterobacteriaceae. The record is from RNAcentral.
UUAAGCGACUAAGCGUACACGGUGGAUGCCCUGGCAGUCAGAGGCGAUGAAGGACGUGCUAAUCUGCGAUAAGCGUCGGUGAGGUGAUAUGAACCGUUAUAACCGGCGAUUUCCGAAUGGGGGAAACCCAGUGUGUUUCGACACACUAUCAUUAACUGAAUCCAUAGGUUAAUGAGGCGAACCGGGGGGAACUGAAACAUCUAAGUACCCCGAGGAAAAGAAAUCAACCGAGAUUCCCCCCCAGUAGCGGCGAGCGAACGGGGAGGAGCCCAGAGCCUGAAUCAGUGUGUGUGUUAGUGGAAGCGUCUGGAAAGGCGCGCGAUACAGGGUGACAGCCCCGUACACAAAAAUGCACAUAUUGUGAGCUCGAUGAGUAGGGCGGGACACGUGGUAUCCUGUCUGAAUAUGGGGGGGGACCAUCCUCCAAGGCUAAAUACUCCUGACUGACCGAUAGUGAACCAGUACCGUGAGGGAAAGGCGAAAAGAACCCCGGCGAGGGGGAGUGAAAAAGAACCUGAAACCGUGUACGUACAAGCAGUGGGAGCCUCUUAAUGGGGUGACUGCGUACCUUUUGUAUAAUGGGUCAGCGACUUAUAUUCUGUAGCAAGGUUAACCGAAUAGGGGAGCCGAAGGGAAACCGAGUCUUAACUGGGCGUUAAGUUGCAGGGUAUAGACCCGAAACCCGGUGAUUCUAGCCAUGGGCAGGUUGAAGGUUGGGUAACACUAACUGGAGGACCGAACCGACUAAUGUUGAAAAAUUAGCGGAUGACUUGUGGCUGGGGGUGAAAGGCCAAUCAAACCGGGAGAUAGCUGGUUCUCCCCGAAAGCUAUUUAGGUAGCGCCUCGUGAAUUCAUCUCCGGGGGUAGAGCACUGUUUCGGCAAGGGGGUCAUCCCGACUUACCAACCCGAUGCAAACUGCGAAUACCGGAGAAUGUUAUCACGGGAGACACACGGCGGGUGCUAACGUCCGUCGUGAAGAGGGAAACAACCCAGACCGCCAGCUAAGGUCCCAAAGUCAUGGUUAAGUGGGAAACGAUGUGGGAAGGCCCAGACAGCCAGGAUGUUGGCUUAGAAGCAGCCAUCAUUUAAAGAAAGCGUAAUAGCUCACUGGUCGAGUCGGCCUGCGCGGAAGAUGUAACGGGGCUAAACCAUGCACCGAAGCUGCGGCAGCGACGCUUAUGCGUUGUUGGGUAGGGGAGCGUUCUGUAAGCCUGUGAAGGUGGCCUGUGAGGGUUGCUGGAGGUAUCAGAAGUGCGAAUGCUGACAUAAGUAACGAUAAAGCGGGUGAAAAGCCCGCUCGCCGGAAGACCAAGGGUUCCUGUCCAACGUUAAUCGGGGCAGGGUGAGUCGACCCCUAAGGCGAGGCCGAAAGGCGUAGUCGAUGGGAAACAGGUUAAUAUUCCUGUACUUGGUGUUACUGCGAAGGGGGGACGGAGAAGGCUAUGUUGGCCGGGCGACGGUUGUCCCGGUUUAAGCGUGUAGGCUGGUUUUCCAGGCAAAUCCGGAAAACCAAGGCUGAGGCGUGAUGACGAGGCACUACGGUGCUGAAGCGACAAAUGCCCUGCUUCCAGGAAAAGCCUCUAAGCAUCAGGUAACAUCAAAUCGUACCCCAAACCGACACAGGUGGUCAGGUAGAGAAUACCAAGGCGCUUGAGAGAACUCGGGUGAAGGAACUAGGCAAAAUGGUGCCGUAACUUCGGGAGAAGGCACGCUGAUAUGUAGGUGAAGCGACUUGCUCGUGGAGCUGAAAUCAGUCGAAGAUACCAGCUGGCUGCAACUGUUUAUUAAAAACACAGCACUGUGCAAACACGAAAGUGGACGUAUACGGUGUGACGCCUGCCCGGUGCCGGAAGGUUAAUUGAUGGGGUUAGCGGUAACGCGAAGCUCUUGAUCGAAGCCCCGGUAAACGGCGGCCGUAACUAUAACGGUCCUAAGGUAGCGAAAUUCCUUGUCGGGUAAGUUCCGACCUGCACGAAUGGCGUAAUGAUGGCCAGGCUGUCUCCACCCGAGACUCAGUGAAAUUGAACUCGCUGUGAAGAUGCAGUGUACCCGCGGCAAGACGGAAAGACCCCGUGAACCUUUACUAUAGCUUGACACUGAACAUUGAGCCUUGAUGUGUAGGAUAGGUGGGAGGCUUUGAAGUGUGGACGCCAGUCUGCAUGGAGCCGACCUUGAAAUACCACCCUUUAAUGUUUGAUGUUCUAACGUGGGCCCCUAAUCGGGGUUGCGGACAGUGUCUGGUGGGUAGUUUGACUGGGGCGGUCUCCUCCUAAAGAGUAACGGAGGAGCACGAAGGUUGGCUAAUCCCUGGUCGGACAUCAGGAGGUUAGUGCAAUGGCAUAAGCCAGCUUGACUGCGAGCGUGACGGCGCGAGCAGGUGCGAAAGCAGGUCAUAGUGAUCCGGUGGUUCUGAAUGGAAGGGCCAUCGCUCAACGGAUAAAAGGUACUCCGGGGAUAACAGGCUGAUACCGCCCAAGAGUUCAUAUCGACGGCGGUGUUUGGCACCUCGAUGUCGGCUCAUCACAUCCUGGGGCUGAAGUAGGUCCCAAGGGUAUGGCUGUUCGCCAUUUAAAGUGGUACGCGAGCUGGGUUUAGAACGUCGUGAGACAGUUCGGUCCCCUAUCUGCCGUGGGCGCUGGAGAACUGAGGGGGGGCUGCUCCUAGUACGAGAGGACCGGAGUGGACGCAUCACUGGUGUUCGGGUUGUCAUGCCAAUGGCACUGCCCGGUAGCUAAAUGCGGAAGAGAUAAGUGCUGAAAGCAUCUAAGCACGAAACUUGCCCCCGAGAUGAGUUCUCCCUGAGACUUAGAGUCUCCUGAAGGAACGUUGAAGACGACGACGUUGAUAGGCCGGGUGUGUAAGCGCAGCGAUGCGUUGAGCUAACCGGUACUAAUGAACCGUGAGGCUUAACCU